This 18649-nucleotide long non-coding RNA is filed under the name Nicotiana tabacum (common tobacco). RNAcentral describes it as "long non-coding RNA (NTAB_LNC018034)". Lineage: Eukaryota; Viridiplantae; Streptophyta; Magnoliopsida; Solanales; Solanaceae. The record is from RNAcentral.
UUUUCUCAAGGUAGACCUCGUACCUCUUGCAGAAGCUGAGGAUUACAGGGUCCAACGAGGUAAACGUGAAGGGGUAAGUGUAAAUACUUAGAUACCCCCCCCCCCUCCACAUGGGUUGUAAUGUGUUCAUUGGGCCCGGGGACAACCACAUCAUUGCCCUUCCAAUUGUAGUCCACCCGAACUGUGGUAGUAUAUCUACGUAUUUGAGGAUAUGUACCUCCAUACACUCUCGCCUCGGCCUUGCUUACUGGAGGCUUUCUCGACUUUGAUGUCGUUCUUGAUGGAACAGCCCCUGGGGAUGAAGCUCUUCAAAGGAGGCUCCGGGGCCACCUCAGGAACAGUCGCCUCGGCAUUCGUGGUCGGGUUUGAAGUUGAAGGGAUGACCUGUUGAGGCAUGAAUUUGGAAGUUUUUGCCAUCGGAUUCUGACAAAUAUAAAGGUUUGAAGUUAAUGAUGAAGGUUUGAAGAUGAGGAUGAAGAUUUGAAGAUAGUGAUGAAGAUAUAAAGGUCUGACUUGAAGAUUUAAAGAAAGGGUAUGAAGAUUUGAAGAUGAAGAUAUGAAUAUCUGGAAACAAUAUAUGAAGAUUUGGAGAGGUCAGAGUUAAGUGAGAGAUUCGAGGAUAAAUCAAUGAGCUAUAGAAUUGGAAAGUAAAAAAGUGAAAAAGAUGUUGGAGCUUUUAUAGAGAAAUGGCAAUCAAUGCAUGAUGUUUCGCAUUCAAGGACAGUCAACCGGCGGCUGACACGUGUCUGAAGUCAGAAUGACGCGACUGAUAGGAUGUUUCGCUGACCCGUCACUUGGUUGAAGCGUACGGAAGAAGGACCAGGGGUUAGCUUAUAGCCUCAUGUCGCUUCGAUAAAUCUACUCUCCGAAAAACGAGGGGACUACCUUUAUACGGGUAAAAUCAGGGGCAGAGCCUUCCCCGAUUUCACGAAUAGGUAACAAAGUGGAAGCACGUUUCGCAAUCAAGGCCAUGGAACUUCUCAUAUUGAAAUCCGGGGGGAGUUAACGAUGCCUCUGAGACCGAGCCGGUGGAAUAAUGGACCCAAUCUGAGUAUAGCUAUGAGACUUUGGGAAACACAAAGAAAGAUUAUGCAUGGCGAGUAGGGGACCAUAAAUGCUCGGCCUCAACCGGAUAUCACGCACGAAUCCUGUUCAAUAUCAACCGUGGAUCGAGAUUUACUGAAAAAAGAAGAUUUUCAUCCAAUUUAGAUUUGUAUAGGAUUGAAAUUUUCCUACUAUAUAAGGAAGGUUUCCUUUAUUGUGACACACUGUAACAUGCAACUCAAAGCAAGAAAAGUUUACUUUUGUCUUCUACCUAUUAUUCAAGACAUUGCUCAUUUGUUCUUUUUUCUCACUGGUGACCGAGCUUGUAUCGAGGGUCCAAUCGAGGACGAGCCCCACUGUUCAAUCUAAAAUCAGGUUUGAUCAUUACAUUGCUAUUGGUUUGAUCCUUUAUUUCGUCCUUAAUUCAUUGACCUGUUAUUCUUAAUCAUUUGUAUUGAAUUAAACUACGUAUCAUUUAAACCGCAUACAAAUUUAAUUGUUGCUUAUUUUUGGGUAUAUAUAUAAAUUAUUAAUUUAAAACACAGUAACUUAAAUGAACUAAAAUUGUGAGCCCAUAAGCUUCAAAAUAUGAUUUGGCUCUGCUGAGUCCUCCCCAAAGGGUAGGUCCGCCUCCGGAUAAAGAAUAGCUGGCCUUGUAAUGUGGGAUUUUUCUUUUUCCCCACUGGAACAUGUACUUAACUUGUUUAACAGAAUUUCCUUAUAUUAUUUACACACAAAAUAAUGCAAGAAUGGAACCUGGUGCUUUCAUCGGAGAACAAUUUAUGUACCCUCAAAUUGAACGUGGUGAUUGAAAUAAGGAGAAUCUAAAGAAACGAAAAGGAAAUAGUAUCAACUACAUGACUACUGAAUAAACCAAAUGAUAAGGAGCAAAAAGAAAUGGCAAGUGACUAUUAGCUCUUUGAGCCAAAGAACAUGAGAGCAGAAGAAGCGCAGUAGAUUCCUAGUACUCCAUAUUUUAUACAUCACUCGUUUUGGACAUGACUUCAAAUUAGGCCAUGGUUUGACUGUUUUAACAUCACGGGUCGAAGAGAAACUCAUUAUCAAAAUUUGACAGCACGCAGAUAAUUAUGGAUAAAGAAUGGACAUACGAUUUAACUAGCUAACUAUGUUUUGGGAACUAAAAAAAUCAAGGUGGCAUUGAUUCCCAUGAAACAUAAUUGGAGGGGUCAUGUCAUAAUCUGUUGCCAAAAAAUGUCGGGGGUACAUGGCGAGUUCUGAUUGAGCAUGGGAAUAUAAAGAAAAAGCAGAUUACGACAACCAAAAACAAUAUCAUCAAAAGCUAAACGAUUUCGGAUUCGAAUUUUGAGACAAGAAUUUUUUUUUCGUUUAGCGAAUUUAACUGGCGCAAAUUCGAACGAAUGAAUUUUGAAUAUCGAAUAAGUAAAGAAAUCACCAAAAUUAAAAGGCUACCGACCAAAAGACGGAUGUAGAGUUAUGGUAUUAAGUUCAUUUGAAUCAAAUGUAGAAUAUAAAUUUAUAUGUAAAAAUUUAUUAUAAUUAUAAUAAAUAAAUAUAAAUAUAAACUCAUAACUAUAAAAAUAAUAUAUAUUUAAUACUUUAAUACUAAAAACUAUAAAGAUUUAAUUUAUAAAAAUUAAAUCCUGAAUUUACCAAACCCCUUUGCUACCGACGAGUUGAAGUCAUUAUAGUAUCUGAUCCCACUAGAUAAAGGCAAGUAAAAGGAUAGCUCUGGCCUACCUCUUAAGCAACAAUAUCCACACAUUGUCCUGUCCACACUCUUCUCCAAUGGAGAUUCUUCUCGUAUCUAUCUUAUACGUAUACUGUUUUCGUCUCAUAUUGACGGUCGUAAUUAUAAAAAAAAGUUAUUUUAAAUUAUUUAUUAUUUUAAAAGUUCAAGAUAAAAUUAAUUUUUUUUGUUAUUCUUAGUAAUAAUUGUUCUUGAAGAUAGAGAUAAUACAUAAAUAAAAUAAAUAUUCAAUAAAGAGAGAUUAUAUCUUAAGAAAUAAAUAAGAAUAGAAUAAUUUAAUUCUUUUCUAAUUAAUAUUUCUUAAGGGGCGUGUAAAAGAGAAAUACUACACAUAAUAUGAGACGGAAGGAGUAGUAUUCUAGUCUCAACCAUGUGAACUUCCUUAGAGCCGCCUCUACCAAGCUUCAACUCCAAAUUUUCCAUUUUCUUAAUAACUUUAUUAGUGAAAGUGAAAUUCUCCAAAAUCUAGAACGGCGCAUGUUAAAAAAUUAAAUUUCCUAGUCACUUAACUCACUGGUGGCGGAAUUUGGUCAUCUGCUACAUAUUUAUUGGAGUAUUUAUUCUUUUGUUUUUCAUAUCUGCAAGACCAAUGCAGAAGACUGAAAUGCAAAAUGAAGUCUUUGGGCGUACUCGGAGUAUACAAAUGAUUUAACUAAUAUACUUUUACAGUGUAAAAUUUUUUACUCUAUCCAUAUACUUUAAUCUGUUGUAGUAUAUUAUUUAUCUUAUUUUUUUUCCAGAUUAUUAGUCUUAGUUAUGGUUUACCUUAAAAUGAGUAAUAAUUAAAUUUGUACGCAAUUUAAAAAAUACGUAAUUUAGUUCCACACAAACGAUCAAAGAACAACAAAUAAUUGAAUUAAAAGAAAGCGAAGCAAUCAAACCAAACACUACGGAGUAGUUAAGCCUGGCGUCUAACUUGAACGCUAAAACCGAUCUCAAUCGAGCCAUCGGAAUGGAGCUCAGUUUUAGUUGAAUGAGAUAAUAACUGAAGAACGCUUUUAAAAAUUGCUAAAGAUAAAAGUAAACUUUAUUGGUUUGAUAUGCGUGCCAAUAAUGGUUGAAAAAUGAAAAGAUUCUCCCCUAUAUAUGGAUGGAAAUUCCAAUCCUAGUACAAGUCAAAAUAAGGUAAAAAUUUCUUUCUUCUAGUAAAACACGGUCUACAGUUGAUAUAGGGAGUGAUCCGCGCUGUAAUAUCCGAUUGAUGGUGGAUAUUUCGGCUCCUCGAUCGUCUUCUCUAACCGUCUUCCAUUUAACCUCGAUUCUUGAUUUUGCUUGAGCUCAAUUCUUCCCCCGUUUGGCCAUGCCCGAUUCUUGGCGUGUUAUUCGUCCCGCCGGGUUCUGAUUUGUGGGUGCCCUCGGCUUUACCCCAGUCGGCGUCGAACCACGUUAUCGCUCGUUUCUUCAUCGGAAAGUCGAGAUAUUAUUCCUGAUUUUACCCGUACAUAGUUAUUAUGAAUAAUUACNNNNNNNNNNNNNNNNNNNNNNNNNUAGAGGAUUCAAAAUAUAAAGAAGUGAACAUUCGGAGAAAUUAAGGGGAUUCAACAUUCACUGUAUAUACAUAAAAAAAAAUAAGUUUAUAUAUAUAAUGUAAUUUUUCGACGAAAGAGAUCUGAAUGAACCCUUUCGUCGCCCUAGCUCCGCCGAUGAUGUUGUUUGACCAAAAAGUGUUGAACUCUUGGUUAAACUAAUUAAUGAUAAAAAUGAAGGAAAAAUCUAAGUCAAACGUAAUUAACUCUAGAUCUAAGUAUAUUGAAUACGAGAAUCGAAUGAGGUCGAGCUUACAUAAUACUUCUUAAGAUUAUUAAAAGACAUCAAACAUAAAUGAUAAGCUUACAUAUUUGAUACAUUGUUCCGUGCUUGUAAGAGCAAAGAAGGAAAGGAAGGAAUGUCAUUGAUAACUAUGAGAUCUAUCUUUAUUGAUUCAACAAUGACGAUUACAAAGGUUUGCAACCAAAAUCUAGGCUUUUGCUUUGUUGUGGGAGGUCUCUUCCCAUUCUUCUGUUCCUUUUUCUCACCAGAGACCCCCCCUUUCCUAUCUAGAGGAUAAUAUCUGCGUCCUCAGUUCGAGUAGGAAUCUGAGUGAGCGACGACCACGUUGAGGGAGGCACGAUUCGAGGAGCGAAUUAGUGAACUUGAUAGGGAUGCUUCGAUCUUGGGAGACCGAGUUGCGGCUCUUGAAGUUGAGAAUGUGCAGUUAUUGGCUCAAGCUCCCCCUCAAGAGUCUGCUUCGGCCACUGUUCCUUGCCGCAUGUAUGAGCUAUGGGUCCAUGCUGAGGCCCAACGUGAUAUAUACAAGGGUUUAUGGGAGGCGGGGAAUGUUCCAGAGGCCGUCUUUGAAUAUGCUCGGGCGAAGGCACGCGAAGCUCGUAUUGCCUGCGGUUACGACCCUACGACACCGAAAGCUGGUGAGGGCAUUGAUGUUGAGGAUGGGCUUCCUUCUGAUGAUGAUGACGCUGGGGAGAAUAGCGGUGGAGGUGACACCGAGUGAAACAUUGUUGCAGCUUUGUACUUAGUUUUUUUUGUCCUUUUGUCAUUUAUUUUUACUCUUUUCUUGAGGGACUGUUUCGGCCUUUUGUAAGACAUGGCUGUUGCGCACGUACAUUUGAAUGAAAUAGUUGUUUCGCCUCCGUUUAUGUAUCUCUUGACUUUCUUUAAUUUCUCCUUCUCCCCUGUUUUUCUAUUUUGUUUUUUUUUUGUUUUUGGGGAGAAGAUUUUCGGAUUUCUCCGUGAUGCGUCCCCAAUCUUUUACUCGAGAAUUCGAAUGAGGAUGAAUCUGGUUUACUUGACUCGAGUGACAUUGGAUCCCAUUGUGUAAGUUCGGGCGAGACCGACUUCUGAUUUGCCAACUUGGGCGGAGUCAACCUUGAUUUGUAUAUUCGAACGAGGUCGAAUUUAGACUUUCCAACUUGGGCGAAGUCAAUCUUGAUUUGUGUAUUUGAACGAGGUCGAAUUUAGACUUGCCAACUUAGGUGAGGUCGAUCUUGACUUGUGUAUUCGAACGAGGUCGAAUUUAGACUUGCCAACUUGGGUGAAGUCGAUCUUGACUUGUGUAUUCGAAUGAGGUCGAAUUUAGACUUGCCAACUUGGGCAAAGUCAAUCUUGACUUAUGUGUUCGAGUGAGGUCGAACUUUCUUUUCAUUUGGCGAUGGCCGAUGGUCGUGAGGGUGUUAAUUCGAGCGAAGUCGGAAUUGUAACCCGUUGUAAAUUCGGGCGAGGUCGAACUUUCCUUUCGUUGGCGAUGGCCAAUGGACGUACGGCUGUUAAUUCGAGUGAGGUCGAAAUUGUAACCCGUCGUAAAUUCGAGCGAGGUCGAACUUUUCUUUCGUUUGACGAUGGCUGAUGGUCGUGAGGGUGUUAAUUCGAGCGAAGUUGGAAUUGUAACCCGUUAUAUUAUUUUUAUUGGAGAACAUUACACGUCGUCGUAUUGUUUAUGCGUACAUCGGUGUGAGUCCCAGUAUGCUUGGUUUUGCUUUCAUUGGGGAAUAUUGUGCGUUUCAUGGGUGAGUCCUAGUUCGCUUAACUUUGCUUUCAUUGGAGAAUAUUGUGUGUUUCAUGAGUGAGCCCCCUAUUCUGGAGAUUGUUUCUUAAUAGUCGACCUGUGUUGAACCGUUUCUGUUAUUUGUAGUACGAUACGGCUUAGAGGACUUUGCUUGGUCAUUGCUUACUAGAUGGUAUAGUACGGAACCUUUUCCUGGGUGUUUUGGUGGCGUCUGUUCCUUGUUCGUAUACCUGUGAGAGUGCUCAUGUUCCUAUUCUAAACCAACAAGAGAGCGUGAUAAGUUAAACCCAAACGAAAUUGCUUGUUACCUUGGCCUGGAAAAUCACUGAAAGGAGGAACGACGUUGUAGGGUCGCUCGCUUCGCCUCGUACUCAAAUGAUGAUUUCAGUUGGCGACUGUGUUUGACUUCGUCGUUAAUCGCAUCUAGGCUUCUCGUGGGUUGGACUUACCUUGCUUGUUGGGAUAUCGAACCAUGUCCCAGUCCGACCCCGUCUGAUAUGCACAAACAAUAAGGGAAAAAUGUCAUACUUUGUUCACAAAUCACCCGGUGCGUGUGGGUACAAAAAUAAGACAUAUAUGCCCGUUAUUUCAAAGAAUCACAUAGUAGGUUAUCGUAAGAGGUGGAAGUACGGGCCGGUAUAUAAGGUGAAUACGUCAAAUGAGAUUGUGGUCAUGCUAAGCGCACAGUGACUGUGAUCCUACUUUAAACAUGCAUUUGACGUGCCUAACCCAUCGCUACAGAUGAAACAUGGAUUUUGCAUAGACAUCGAUCAUAAUUUCUAUUUCAUGUAGAGAUCUGACCUAGAUUGGUUUAGUUAUCCCAAAAGCUUAUCUACUACUUUUCCAUGUCGGUGUUUAUACCGAGACGGUGAGGCUAUGACAACCUGGAAAUGAUACUUGGCUGGUUUUAGAUCUAAAGGAAACUAAAAAAUUGGCUAAGAAAUCCCCAUAGACGGCGCCAAAUUAUUUGACCAAAAAGUGUUGAAGUCUUGGUUAAACUAAUUAUCGAUGAAAAUGGAGGAUAAAUCUUAGCCAAACGUAAUUAACUCUAGAUCUAAGCAUAUUGAAUACGAGAAUCGAAUGAGGCCGAGCUUACAUAACUCUUCUUAAGAUUAUUAAAAGACAUCAAACAUAAAUGAUAAGCUUACAUCUUUGAUACAUUGUUCCGUGCUUGUAAGAGCAAAGAAGGAAAGGAAGGAAUGCCAUUGAUAACUAUGAGAUCUAUCUUUAUUGAAUCAACAAUGACGAUUACAAAGGUUUGCAGCCAAAAUCUAGGCUUUUGCUUUGUUGUGGGAGGUCUCUCCCCGUUCUUCUGUUCCUUUUUCUCACUAGGGACCCCCUUUUCUUGCCUUCUUACUUCAUAUAUAUAUAUAUAUAUAUAUAUAUAUAUAUAUUACAAAUCGUCUCCUUUGUCUAACAAUCUUUAACCAGCAUACCCCCCUCCCCUGACUAUGCUCUCCCUUACUCGCUCAAGCAAUACGACAUAUAUUCUGUUGUGCAAGUUUUCUGAUGGCUCGAUCUCGGCAGUGGUCGAGAUACUCAUUGCUAUUACGCUUUGUGGGUACGAUAAUAAUUUGGUCGACCUCUUACUAUUCUUUUAGUGAUAAUCCACUUAUGGUCAAAUUUUGACCCGUACAGAUGUGACUUUAGAUGACCAACAACCAGUGCUUAUCCCCAUUUAGGGGAUGGCAAGUUAAAAUUUAUUUUUUGCUUUCGGGUGACGAUAAGAGCUCAUGGCUUGUGCCCAUAUUUGGUCACUCUUUUUUCCAUUUAAAAGAAAACAAGAAACCAUACUGCGGGAAAUUGGAGGAGACCUCCUCAUGACGACUGAUCACAAAAUUUAGCUUGUUUGACUUUGACGUAAUGCUGAUGCAGUUUCUCCAGAAUUUCAUGCACAAUCUAGGAAUUCUUUUUUAUUGCAAGUUGCGUCCAACUUUCACACCAAGUGGUCUGGUGUUGUACCUGAAAACAUGGAUUUAAACUUAUCUACGCAAAUAUUCCACACAACUUUUAUGCUAUCGCUGUAUUCUAAACUAUUAUACUAUCUAACUUGGACCUUUCUAGCUUCACAAGAUAAGGGCGGGAACGGAUUCAAUGCAUUAGUUACAGGUUUCCGGGAUAAUAUUGGGUUAAUUAUCUAUAUUUUUUUUUUUGAACAAGUGUUUACACCUAACAAUUAAUACUUGACACAAGUAUUCACACUCUCUUAUAACUCAUCAUUAGUUAACUAUUACACAUUUUCACCGGGUACGUAUAAUUAGUUUUUUCUCAUAACUCUUUUUUGUUUCAAUUUACUGAGCUCCCUCUUCUAAAAGCUAAAACUCUUACAAAUGUGUCAUUAAAUGGGGUGCAAUAGAUAUUAUGGGUCAAGAAUUAAUUUGGUGGUAGAAGUUGGCUAUUGUAUUUAUGAGACUCACCAGCCAAUGGCCCUUUCUAGAGCUACCUUCACAAUUCAUAUUGAUAAAUGGACCAUUCUUACGAUCCUCCCAACCUUUACAUUAAUUACAGUCAUACAAUAAUUUCCUAAGUUCCAACUACUACUAUUCAAUCUCACACCUUACUCUUUCCUGUGAAGUAUUGAAAUACUACACCAUACUUUCAUUCAGAAUUAAUUAAAAAAAAACCUACAUCCCUACCAUCCAUAAAUUAUUUCAUUAUGGAGCCACCUACUUUUUAUUCCUCCUUUUUUCUUUUCGUUUCUUCUCCUCUUUUCUUUUUUUCAAACAAAGUCCUGCUUUUGAACUUUUUACAAAUUACAACCAUUAAUUAAUAUUUGUAAAAAAAGCAGCUACUAUUACUGGAGAUGCUACGAAUUUUCUUUUAUCUCCACAUAAAGUUUCUACGUACCAAUACGGAAUUACUAGUACUAAUUUUCUAACAUUUGUCGGGACUGAAUCCAACGAGGUUGCUAGCCAGGUCAUAACUGACACGUGUCCCUUGCUGCUGUAUGUUUCCAAUAAUAGAUAGGGACCCUUCCGUCGGAGCAAAAGCCAAGCAGAAUUUCCCCGACGAGUCCACCGCUAUCAGGUAAUUCUUCGGGUGCAACGACAGCGUUUUAUCGCCGGUGAAAUGAAGCGCCACCGUCGGAACACUCACUUUCGUCAUGGACGACAGGUCGUAGCAAGUGUCAAACAGGGCGAAUUGCCCGGCGGAAGGCAAAUUCUGAGUGAAUUUCACGAAGGAAUCACGCAAAGCAUUGUAAGCGGUGGUCUGUAACCGAGUCACCGCCGUACCGGAGUCUACAAUGAUCCCGCCGUUUCCACUUCCAUCCACCUGGAAUACCGACGCUGGAAUCGACAACAUCUGGCCGCCUACACUGAUUCCAGUAAGUCCGACGUAGAAGAAAGUGCUCCUUCUCGAGUUACGGAGUAACGGAGCAAUUACGGAGUCACCCGGCCGUGCGGAGUUAAAAUCCAGCGUCGACGACGAAGCAGAGUCACGGUCCACGAAGCAGUAGGAAAACGACGACGCUUUGAUUUGAGAUGGCAGAGAUAAAGUGCCGCCGCCUAGAGCUAUUAAACCAGCGGCGCCGACGAAGAGUCCUUCGUUAUCAUGGCCACAGCCUAUAGCAACUUUAGAGAACGAACCAGAGUUCCCAAAGGACACCGUUUCAGUAGCAAACUCUCCUACGGUGAACGAGCCGUCACCGUACGAGACCUGGUAGAGACACGCGUUAGUACCACAAGCGGAGACCUCAAGAGCAGAGCAGUGAGCAUCAUCGCAAGAGACCCGACUGUAAGUGGAAGAACCCGACGGAUUGAAAACUGGAUCCGACUGCUGAUAACAAUCGGAACACGGCUCACAUUGAAGCCACGUGAUGUCACUGCCAGUGUCUAAAACCAUGUAGAAUUCUUUAGCCGGUUGGCCCAACCCGAGCCGAGUGAAAUACUCGCCGCUCCCCUGACUAGCUCCUGAAGUAAUAGGAGUUUGAAGAUCUUCGGGUUGCAACAUGGUUUGAACCGGCUUGAGAUCCGAGUGAGUAAAGUUGGUGAGUGAGAGGGUGAGUUUCAUGGUCAGUGAGGAAACUCGGGCCGAGUCACGUUCGAGUCGAGAGAGAGUGAGGGAUGCAUAGUCCUUAUGACGUGGCUUAACUAGAGCUGAACGAGGGUAAAUUGAAACAGAGAUUGAAGAAGUAUUAGAAGCGGUACUUGUAAUAGCUUCUUGUUGAAAAGUUUGAGAAGUAGGAGAGAGAACUUGAACAGUUUUCUUAAUGGAUUCUGCUACGUCAAAGAUUUGGGAGUGUGGAUUUGAAGAUGAUAAGGAGCGAGAGAGAGCACAAGGGACGAAAAGAAGAAGAAAAAAGAGGCAAAAUUGGGCCAUUUUUGGGGAAAUGUUAGAAUGAAAGGAAUGGAGAAGAAAAGAGAGGAAGAAGUGGAUAUAAGUAGAAGGAGAAGGGUGGGAAAGCCGAAAGGGAAGGGAAAAGAAAGGGAGGGAGGGGGCUCACGUCACACUUGUUGAAUCAAAACAAAAGCAUUUAAAACAGAGAAAGAAGCUUGAUACCUGCUCUCUGUUCUACAACUAUAAAAGAAGAGAAGAUAUUGCCACCAUUAAUUUCCUCUUCUUUAUUAUUCAUUUUUGUCCUUAUUCUUUUCCUUUCCCCUUUUUUUAAUUAUUAGUAAUAUUGUCCAACAAAUGUAUAAUUUACCUAAAUUCGUUCAAAGGUUAAUGUACUUGUACAGGCUAGUUUACUUUUUGAUAAGUGGACUUAUAUUCUUAUUUACUUCUAUAAAACUUAAACUAAAAAAGACAACCUUUAAAUUUAUUUUUCCCCUAAUCAUAUGCUUAGUUGGUGGAUAAUAAAAUGAAAUUAAAAAGGAGGGAAAAUCUCCCAAAAUCAUUGAGCAUGGGAAUGGUAACAAAGUCGACGAAUAUUCUUUCAUUAUAAUAAUUAAAAAUCUUGCAUUUUAGAAUUCAUUCUACAGUGAAGAAGAAAACGGAUACUUUGUACUCAAAGAAAAUGGAGGACUAACAGUUUGCUGACAAUGUGAAUUUUGAUGGUGAAGGUAAGCUUCAACCUGGACUUUAUGCAAUUUACUAAUUUUAAGUUUGCAUAUUUUUUUAAUGGAAAAAUUAAUCUAAUUUAUUUAUAUGGUGUGUUAAAUUUUACAAUGUAUAGAUUGCUUGUGCCUUUAACUUUUACUUGGAUCUUAAAAUACAAGAUUUUCAAUUUAAUUUUUUUUUAUAUGAGAUAGUAGACCUCAUAAUAUAAUGGAAGAGUGUCCGCUGGUUUUGUUACAAUUCUCCAAUGGUUGCCGAUUUUGGGAGAUCUUUUCCCAUUUUAAUUUCUUUUAUUGUCCGCCUGCUAAGCAUCCGAUUAGGAAAAAAGAUAGACUUAAACGUUGCUUUUUCAAAUUUAUAUUUUAUAAUAAGUAAGUAAGAACAUGAGUUCACUUGUCAAGAAAUAAAUUAGACUCGCACAAGUAAUGUUGGUUAUUGUAUUUUAGAUUAAAGCUGACAAUGUUGUCCAACAAAUGUGUAAUUUACCUAAACCCGUUCAAAGGUUAAUGUACUCGUUGAUGUAACCCAAAUCCAUCCUUUCAAAACAUUGAUUCAACUUGGGUUAUGGUACUACUUCAAAUCAUAUCAAUAAGAGAGUUUGUAAACAUAUAAUAAAUAUUUACAAACAAAUAGUUUAAUGGCAUACCCAUAUUUCAUAUUUAGAUAGGAUUUUAGAUCGGUGGGCUAUUACACAAUCUUUUCAGUAACAUAGGCUGUUUCUUGAGUUAAAGAAGAAAUCUUCCUACUUUUUCCUCUUUAAAUUUUGAGGUGAGUGUAUGGUGCUGGAUUUUAUCCAUUGCUCUGCCUCUUGCAAGUGUAGUUGGCAAAUUAAUUACGCGGCUACUACUCUAUCCAUUGUUACGGCGGGUAGUUAGAGCAAUCAAUACUUGAAGUUGGCUAUAUAUAGUUGCUACACAAAAAAAUUCGAAUAUGUUCGAAGAUCUCGAAAUGAUCUUCCAGUUCGGGGGAGAAUUCGCAAAAUUCCGUUUCCAUCGAGAAUAGAAUUGAUCUUUCCCUUAUUUCGACCGGAGAAUCUAACAGAGACAUUACUGUGGAUAUUCUAACCAAAAAAUUAGACAUUCCAUGCCCUCGGAGAGUGCUUUGUCGUGCUAGGUCACUGACAUAUCCUUUUUUGUCUUUAUUUGACCCCAAGAAUGGAUUGGAUCGAAACGACUUUCCUGUUGAAGCCCUUUAUGUCUGUAUUAAUUUCACUCACGUUGGACCGGUGUUUAAAUUAAAAUUAUAAAGUAUGAUAUCAGUAUGUUAGAAAAAACUUUUACUACUAUAACUUAACCAUGCGAAUUACUAUGUAUUUCUUACCUCAAUUUAGCAUAUAACGAUGACAAAUUGAUGUGAUGUGAUGUAAUACUUAUAUAGAUAAGUAUUUAAUUAUAUUAGUGCUUUGUUUGGGAACAGCAGCAAAGACAUUCUUUGAGCCACCCUACUCUAAAUCAAGAAACCAAUGAAAUUGUCUGGUGUUUUCAGUCUAACUUGUUUGCUUGAUUGUCAAAAUUAAUAGUCUUUGACAUACUGGUCACUCUAAUAGUAAGCAACCUCCACUUCCAACCAAGAGGUUGUGAGUUUGAGCCUCCCCAAAAGCAAGGUGGGAAGUUCUUGGAGGGAAGGAUGUCGGGGUCUAUUUGGAAACAGCCUCUAUACCUCAGGGUAGGGGUAAGGUCUGCGUAUACACUACCCUCCCCAAACCCCACUAAGUGGGAUUAUACUGGGUUGUUGUUGUUGUAUAUAGUAAGGUCAUUGGUGAUUUUCUAAAACAUUAAUAUUGCAAAAUAUUAAGUUUAUUUUGUAAUGGAGUGCAUGAAAGUUUUUGAGUUGAUAUAGUUAAAUAAACUUGCAAGAUGUAAGCUCUAAUCUUAUUUGUGGCAAAAGAUAUGGUGACCACCAAGCCUCAAUGGCACCCAUGAGAUACUUAAAGAUGGAUUAAUGCAGUUAUGUGACGAAAUUUAAAAGGAAUAUAUAUGUGAGAAAUAUGAAUCAAGAACACAAAAGAUUUAGGUCUGAAAUACGUUACAUAAUGUUUUUCUGAAAGUAAUAUUUGAUCCUGCUCCUUUGCGAGAUUGUUAUGAUAUUGUAUGCAAAUAGUUUUAACUUUUAAUGGAUAUGGCCACAUGACAAGAUUUUCAAAUUUUGGAUAAUCUCAGAGACCUCCCUUUAAGUUUCGCUCCAUCACACUGAUCACCCUCGUGAUUUAUGAUAUAACGUCUAUCUCCCUUAUUUUAAUUUAGUAACAAUUCUUUUCACCUAUUUAUUAUUAAUAUAAAACGUGCUAAUUAAUCAAAUUGUAAUAAUUUAAAUCUUAUUCAACCACUUCUUUAAGAAUUCUAUAUUAAACACAUUAUUCAGUAUCUAGCAUAAAAUGCUAGGUCCUCAGACUUACGCCAGAAGGUAAAUCUUUCUACUCUUUCUUCUAUUUCUAGUAAUACAAAACACUAAAACUUCAACGAGAGCAAAAAAUUCACAUAGGUGAAAUCCAUUUGUUGGGAUUAAACUGUAGGAAUGGCAAACGAUUAGCACGGAAUGAAUAAAAUCGACUUGGAUAGAAGGGAAUAGAGAUAGAUGAUGCAUAUUUGGCAUUGACCCAACUAUUAGGGAUUGAGGCAUAGUUGAUUAAUUGAUUGAUAUAUUUCUAGUAUACAAACUCAUUGAUCUGCGGUGUUGACAUUGUUUACGGGUAAUAUGAUCUAGAGGUAAUGAGGUACUUACUAUGCCAUUUUCAACAUUUAUGUACAAUAUCUAUGCAAAGUGUAGCCUCCACCGAUCAGGUUCGUUUUUUUCAACAACCUCCACUGGCAGGCUCAAUGGAGCUUAGCAGACCAUUGCCUCUCAGCUGCGUGCAAUGCUCUUCUGCAUCAGCUUGAGCACAGAUUAUCACCACCGCCAGACCAUUGUAAUGCGCCUCUUGCAUGAUAUUAACAGCAUUGUCGACUGUCAUCCCCGGUAUAACCUUCAUGAGUACUUGAACUACAUACUCCCUCUUGUUGUAGUUGUCAUUGUGCAGCAUCACACGAUAGGGCGGGGACAUCUUCCUUGAUUUUCUGCAAAAGGAAGACACAAAUUAUAGUACUAGUAGAUUGUUAAUCAUUGCAUUUUCUUUGUACAUUAAGUUUUAUUGCAUUUCACCCAGAAAGUAAAGCAAUACAACCAGAUACCUACAUGCAGUUCUCCUGAUAUGCAGCUCUCAUCACCAAGAGAUCUUUUUUUAUAUAAAAUAAAUUAAGUAAUGUAAUCAUCAACAGCAAAGUUUCUGGUCUGCUUUGGGGUUAAAGCCAUAUUCAACUCUAAUAUAACUUAUCCAUGAGAAAUAAACAAUAAAUACAACCUCUGUGCUUAGUGGAGAUAUAUUGGUCUUCUUGCCUAAAGGAAAAUAGUGCUCCCUAAAGAAAAUACUCCAGAUUUGUGUUUGUACAUAGAUCGUUCAUCUUUACAGAAAUAACCAUUAUUUGGAAACCGUUGCUCUGUUCUCCUCUCCACCUACACACCCUUGAAUUGCCACCAAUUUUGUUUUCUUUCUCCUCUUCGUUCCCCAUCCUCCUCCUUAUCCCUGUUGUACAGAGUACUUACACAUCACCUUAACAACAAGCUAGCAAUAAAAGUUGCUUUGGACAAGAAUUCUUCAAUUACUCAUAACAGGGCAAAUAAUAAUUGGGAUGUGCAUCUCAGGAGAUCUGUUCAAGAUUGGGAGAUGGAAGACUUGAUGGAAAUGCUAGCAAGAUAGGAGGCCUACAACUAGGGGUGGCAAACAGGAGGUCAUGUCGGAUAUGAACGGGUUGAAAACGGGUAAUGCAAAAACGGAUAAACUAUCCGACCCCACCCAUAUGUAAUACGGAUAAAAAACGAGUUAACCGAUAAAUAAUAUGGAUAUUCAUAUUAUCCAUGGCUUCUUGAAUAUUAUCACUUUUGGGAGAAUUACUAGUCUCUCAAACUUGAGGAACUCCCAAUUUGAGGCUUUACAAAUAUAAAAGUUAAACUCAUUAGUUAUCCAUUGAUUAUCCAUUUUUUAAGUGGAUAAUAUGGUUUUUAUCCAUAUUUGAACUGUUUUUAAAUAGUUCAUUAUCCAACCCAUAUUUUAAUGGAUACUAUGGGUGGAUAACUGUUUACGUUUAACUAUUUUGCCACCACUACCUACAACAUUGAUGAGAAUGUUCCAGACAGUAUGAGAUGGAGCUGUAAGGGUCUUUUCACGGUUAAAGAUUGCUAAAGGCAACUUAACAAUCAGAAUCAGGAAUUACACUCAUGGCCUUGGAAACUGAUACGGAGGACAAAAUUACUGUGAAAGUGACAUGCUUCAAUUGGAUUGCCCUUCAUGAAGCCUACUUAACACAAGAUAAUCUUAACAUAAGGGAAUUUCAGCUGGUUAACAGAUGUAAUCUUUGCACAAGGUACCAAGAAACAGUUAGUCACCUACUUCUACAUUGUCCAGUAGCCACAGACCUAUGAAACAUGUUCUACUGUAUUUUUGGCCUGAGUUGGGUCAUGCCACAAAGCCUGAGAGAGGCACAUAUGAGCUGGAGUCGUUGGGAGGUUGAUAAGGCCAUCAAGAAGAUCUGGCUUAUGAUCCCUGCAACUAUUUUUUGGUGCUUAUGGAACAAGAGGAAUAGAAGAUGUUUUAUGGCACCUCAACCCCAAACCACUUACUCAAAUCUAAAUGCUUGCUCAAUCUUUUUGUUGGACAAAGUUGUCCCCCGUAAAAAGUAUUGGACACCUUUUGGAUUUUAUUAGCUCUCUUGUCCUAGAUUGAGACUUUGUUUUGGGGCAAACAAUGAUCUCCUGUAUUUUUGUUUAUUUUGCAACUAUGCCUCUUGUAACUUUGCAUCUUCUUGAUGCCUUCUUAAUGAAAGAUAUUACUUCAUUACAAAUAAAUAAUUAAAAAAAAAACAAGCUAGCAAUAUGUCUGUAACUUACAACACUAAGAGCCUCGCACAUGUCUAUGGUGCAAAAAGAUCGUUCAGGGAGGAGGAAAUUCAUUUUUCCAUUUCAAAAAUUUAAGGGUUCUUUUGAUUGGAGUCCAGACUACUGACAGAUAUCACAUGAGCUGUGGUUUUUAAACGUGUGACUAAUGUUGGUUAAAAUAGGUUACAAGCAGAGGCGAAUCAAGGAUUUGAAGUGUAUGGGUUCCUACAAUAAUUUCAAGUCAAUAUAUCAAAAAAACAAACUAAGGUAUGUGUGCUUGUAGUGUUCCUAUUUGGCUGGUCUCUUUAGUUUAACUUGGUAUUUUUUCAAUAUUUAAAGAGGAAAAUACGUGUGGUGUUUUGUAAAGACAACAAAAAAGGAAGUUGAGCCCAAAGGGAUUUGAAACCUCCCCAAUUGCAGGAGCAAGUUUAUGAGGGUUCAUCUUUUGCCACGGAACCAACAUGAUGUUUUGGUACUAGGUUCCGACACAAAAUAUAUUAUACAUUUAUUAGAUUUCUCAAUGUAUUUACCGGGUAUCGACAAAAGUUAUUGGGUUCCCAGGAACCCAUACCCACCAUUGUAGAUCCGCUCCUGGUUACAAGAGGUGAAGGCUGGAUGUUGUGGUGGUUGGAGUUUGACAGUCCAUUUCUCUUGGUAGUAUGCCAGUUUGCAAAGACAAUAUAAAGAGGGUGGAGAACAAAGCAUGAAAAGCCUUCUUCUAAAUUUGGUGAGAAAGGACGCAAUGCCCUAAUAUAUUUGACAAAUAACUGCCCAGUUAUAUCACUAGGAAACAUUUCGGGGAGUUUUUGCUUUUUCUUUUUAAUAAGGGAAAUGUAGUCUCGGGAAAGGAAAUAGUAACAGGUCCGCCGAACAAGAAUAGCAACUAAAGAAUGAACACAAUUUAUUUCAUAGUCUACAUAUGGCACGGUUCCGCUCAACUUUGCUUUUCAGGAAGAAGAAAAAGAGAAUAAUAGACUGUUAUCUGUUGUGCAAAGUAGUUGAGAUGUCUCCUGGCAGAAACCACAUCAAUGUGAAAGAGAAGACUAAAAGAAAUUUGGACUCAUGAAAGAACAACAAAGCCUUCAGAACCUGAACUAAUUGUAACAACACAUACUUAACAUUUGAGGAAUCCAUACCUCAAGUCGAAUUCAGAUUCACGCCCAGGAGUUGUUUUCUCGAUAACAGGCUUCUCCAACAACCCACCACCUUUGCCUACUCCUGCUAUAGGCAUUGCCAUCAAUGUGUUCCGAUUUGUCCAUUGUUUUUGACGAGGUUUUGUAUCUCCUGUAUCACAUUACCCGCAGAUAAUUCAAUCUUAUGCGUGUCAAAAUUCAUGAAGAACACAAUGGUAAUUCAUCAGUUCUCCAUCUUAUAUACACCUACUCUAAUCAUCUAUACAUUAGAUACAAAGUAAUUUCCUACUGAGUGAAUUGAUACUCUUAAAUAAUAGUCAUUAAAUCCAUGAUAUCUCGAAAUCAAUACAUUUCUCUUAGACCAACUGCAUACUUCACUAGUUUCAAAUGGAAGUAUGUUCAAUAGUUUCUAAAAGUAUUAAUGACUAGGUAACGAUAAUCGACUAGCCAGAGAUGCAGAUAAAAAGUCAGCCCUUCAACUUGGACUUUCAUGCUUCUCUCACAUAUUUCAGACCUUUGUAGUAAAGAAAACAGUCCCAUUUCUUCCUUAGUAAAAGUUCAAAGUUCAAUUUACUCUUUAUUGAAGUUGUUAUGAACAUUUUAGGGAAAAGAAUAUCAUAAAGAGCCCUGUAUCUACCCCACCCCCCACCCCAACACACACACAAAAACAAACACCUCCCAAUUGACACUCGCUUUUUCUGUAUUGGAGCGUUCACUGGUACUUUAGGGUAUUCACUAGAUAUCGGGGGGUUUUAAUCCAGUUCAAAGACAGCAACCUUCUCUCUAUUUUGUCACUCUAAAUGCACAUGAGAGAGGUUUAAAGUCAAGAAUCCACGAACCCCACCUCAGGAAAGCAAGAAUAAUCCAUAAAUUUUGAAACAAAAUCAGGUCCAGGAACAUUCAAGAAAACUAACUAGGCCAAUUAAAAUUGCCACAAUUUUUGGAAAGAACGAGCAAUUCUUGGUGAAACAACAGUAAAGAUUCAACAAUCAAACAAUUAACAUAUUUUAGAGAGAGAAAAAUGGGUAGUUUACCAGGUUUUGGUUGGAAGAUUUGAUGGGGAGAAAGAGCAACUCGGCCACAAAUGGCUGUCUCCAUUACCAUAACUCCCCUCUCUCUCUCUCUAUCUCUCUGUUUCUCUCACCACCAACCACACAGCACCACUACUAAUACUACUGACUUCUGAUUUUAUAAUCUACCACAAAUUUCUUCUCCUUUUCUUUUUCACCUGAUAAUUUGUAUAAUAACUGCGAAAUAAGAAGAAAAAUUAAAUGUGUGGUCGGUACUAUAACAGUCGAUCAAGAUUCAAGUCCUUCACACAUAUGGAAAGUAGACACG